This is a long non-coding RNA of Austrofundulus limnaeus, 234 nucleotides long. RefSeq lists it as uncharacterized. NCBI's taxonomy places the organism in Eukaryota, Metazoa, Chordata, Actinopteri, Cyprinodontiformes, Rivulidae. The transcript is spliced from 2 exons. The record is from RefSeq and is a predicted model, not a curated record.
GCGGUUGUAGUACUUCCUGACUUCAAAAGGCAAGUCUUCCGCAUGAGGAGCGUGGAGGUUCCCAAUGGUUCCAGCUGGGGGGUCCAAAGCAGGCUCAGGAAAGCAUCCUUCCUGGAGACCAUGCCCCAAUCUGAGUCUUCUCCUCAAGCCUCCUUCGAUGUACCUCCCCAGACGCCUCAUCAUUCAUCCCCACUACCCUUCGACCCCUUUCCUUCAAUAAAAUUUUUAAACCCA